Molecule: non-coding RNA, 121 nt
Organism: Mycena polygramma
Lineage: Eukaryota; Fungi; Basidiomycota; Agaricomycetes; Agaricales; Mycenaceae
Source: the annotation of a GenBank genome assembly
GGCUGCGUGGUGGAGUGGUAACACCUCCGCUGUCUCUCGUCGUACAAUACACAAUGCCGCCGGCUUCGUGUAUUGCACAACAAGUCAGCGGAUGACGUGGGUUCGAAUCCCGCCGCAACCA